This is a non-coding RNA of Potamilus streckersoni, 73 nucleotides long. The record is from the annotation of a GenBank genome assembly. Lineage: Eukaryota; Metazoa; Mollusca; Bivalvia; Unionida; Unionidae.
GCUCCAGUGACCUAGUGGUUAGAGCGUUCGCCUUGGAAGCAGGAGGUCGCAGGUUCGAACCCAUGCCGAGUCA